GUUGAAACACCGGUUCCCAUACGAUCACCGGAGUUAAGCAACAUCAAGCCUGGUCAGUACCUAGAUGGGUGACUGCUUAGAAAUACCAGAUGCUGUAAG
Molecule: non-coding RNA, 99 nt
Organism: Acanthosepion pharaonis
Lineage: Eukaryota; Metazoa; Mollusca; Cephalopoda; Sepiida; Sepiidae
Source: the annotation of a GenBank genome assembly